UUAAUUAAGACUAAAGAUUUUUUAAUUGCAAAAAUAAAUAAUAAAGUCUAUUUAGUUAAA
RNAcentral lists this transfer RNA (60 nucleotides) under Nothopoda sp. Its description in RNAcentral is "tRNA-Ala". The record is from RNAcentral. Lineage: Eukaryota; Metazoa; Arthropoda; Arachnida; Trombidiformes; Eriophyidae.